UACGGAGGGGGUUAGCGUUGUUCGGAAUGACUGGGCGUAAAGCGCGCGUAGGCGGAUCAGGAAGUUGGGGGUGAAAUCCCGGGGCUCAACCCCGGAAUGGCCUUCAAAACUCCUGGUCUUGAGUUCGAGAGAGGUGAGUGGAAUUCCGAGUGUAGAGGUGAAAUUCGUAGAUAUUGGGAAGAACACCGGUGGCGAAGGCGGCUAUCUGGCCCGUAAUUGACGCUGAGGCGCGAAAGCGUGGGGAGCAAACAGG
Molecule: ribosomal RNA, 253 nt
Filed under: uncultured bacterium
Lineage: Bacteria
Description: partial 16S ribosomal RNA
Rfam family: Bacterial small subunit ribosomal RNA
Source: RNAcentral